Molecule: transfer RNA, 77 nt
Filed under: Cyanobacteria bacterium UBA11367
Lineage: Bacteria; Bacillati; Cyanobacteriota
Also listed under: 5 other names
Description: tRNA-Leu
Rfam family: tRNA
About the family: Transfer RNA (tRNA) molecules are approximately 80 nucleotides in length. Their secondary structure includes four short double-helical elements and three loops (D, anti-codon, and T loops).
Source: RNAcentral
GCUCCUGUAGCCCAAUUGGCAGUAGGCGGCAGAUUUAAAAUCUGUUCAUUGUGUGGGUUCGACUCCCAUCAGGAGCA